RNAcentral lists this ribosomal RNA (450 nucleotides) under uncultured bacterium. RNAcentral describes it as "bacterial SSU rRNA". It matches the Rfam family "Bacterial small subunit ribosomal RNA", at positions 29 to 524 of the family's 1533-position model. The record is from RNAcentral.
AGCGAACGCUGGCGGCAGGCCUAACACAUGCAAGUCGAACGGAUCCUUCGGGAUUAGUGGCGGACGGGUGAGUAACACGUGGGAACGUGCCUUUUGGUUCGGAACAACGCAGAGAAAUUUGCGCUAAUACCGAAUGUGCCCUUCGGGGGAAAGAUUUAUCGCCAUUAGAGCGGCCCGCGUCUGAUUAGCUAGUUGGUGAGGUAAAGGCUCACCAAGGCUACGAUCAGUAGCUGGUCUGAGAGGAUGAUCAGCCACAUUGGGACUGAGACACGGCCCAAACUCCUACGGGAGGCAGCAGUGGGGAAUCUUGCGCAAUGGGCGAAAGCCUGACGCAGCCAUGCCGCGUGAAUGAUGAAGGUCUUAGGAUUGUAAAAUUCUUUCACCGGGGACGAUAAUGACGGUACCCGGAGAAGAAGCCCCGGCUAACUUCGUGCCAGCAGCCGCGGUAAU